Gadus macrocephalus (Pacific cod) is the source of this 1774-nucleotide long non-coding RNA. RefSeq lists it as uncharacterized. The record is from RefSeq and is a predicted model, not a curated record. The transcript is spliced from 2 exons. NCBI's taxonomy places the organism in Eukaryota, Metazoa, Chordata, Actinopteri, Gadiformes, Gadidae.
UUGGGUUGUUGUGUGUUGACAACGAGGGAAGGACAACACUGAGGACUGUUAUGAUGACCAACAAAACAACCCGCAAUAACUCGCUCCCAGCAAGACAAACGAGAUGGAGCAGCCAAGUUGAAACCAUUAACCUGUUGAAACAGGACAGCGAUAGAAAGAUACUGAAUGUUCAGCAGAAAGAGGGUCAAAUCAGACUAGUUACUGGACACAUCUGGACGAACAGAGGCUUGGGUUCAGGAAGAAACGUGAUCGCACAGUGAUUUUGGCGGCCAAUUGAGUACCUGUUCAAGCAUCCGACGAUGGGAUCUGUGGCUACAAUGGGGAUCUAGGAAAACAUCUGGAAAUUAGGCAAGAGGCGCAAGGCGAAGUACGAGAGACGGACAAUGGGAACGCAGCUUAUAUCUCCGAGCCCUGCCAAUCCCAUGAGAGAGCAAUCCCAUGUUAUCAUCCUGUGAUUCAACUUGUUAUUACCCAUCAUGCUGUUGCUUGAGAUGUGCUUUUUUCCUUGUCACUCAGGCGCACCUGCCAACAGUUUGGGCUUUGAGUGACAUCCUUAAGCUAACCUUGUUUGUUACUCACGCUUGGCUGCUCCAUGGCAUGCUAAAUUAUAGGCCUGUAGCAAAAUAGACAUUUAGUUUCACUGCCGUCUGCUCCAUACUCGUACUCCAUAGAAAUACAUAAUGAUACAAGAAAUGAAAAAGACUUGCCAAACUGUGUCCUAAAUAUAAUCUAGUGUCUCAUGUUAUCUAUCCAUCCAUCCAUCUAUGUAAAGAGGUCUUGAUGACUACCAAAUAAAAGCAUUAAUCACCUUUGGAUAAAUUAGAUAUUGACCUACAAAAAAUAUUUGAUGUGAUUUACAAGGUACAAAAAUGUCAUCAUCAAACACUUUCCUAUCGGGCAUACAAAUAUCCUCACGCUCUGGAUUUAGAAUUACAACUAUACCACUGCUAUUGAUGAGCGACCUACAGUGAGUUCAGACCCGGUUGGUAGCGGGAGGUGGUUGGUGGUCAUGCUGCAGCGCGCCCACAGGGAUACUGCAGGCCGGGCGCUGAGCAGCCCAGCCCCCCUUAACACCGGCCCCGCUCUGCACUAUGUCAAACACAGAGUUAAUCACGUCAAGCUGCUGCCCCCGCUUUACCACAGUUAAUGAUAUAUGGGAAUAAAACACACUCUCUGCACGUACAUGUUUGGAUUAAACAGGCAUGAGUGGUGGUCUCAGGGCAAUUCUUUUGGAAUACAUUAAUAUGGAUAUUGCGAAAUGCACAUUCUGGAUAUUGAUUCCAUUAGUAGUGUAAUUUUUAUUUUAUGAGGACUUGGUUGGUGGGAAUCAAUGCUAGGGUGAGAUCAAGUGGUGUAUUACAAAUUAAUUCACAAAGAAUAUGGUUUAAUGCAAACAAAAGCUGGAUUAGUUUGCAUAGAGCAGUAGACAUAUUUCAAAUACUGUCAAUGUAGUUGCUUUGAUCCAAUUCCUCCGUGUGUGUGUGUGUGCCAAUGAGAAUAUUAUCCAAACACAAACUUCCACAGUCAGAUGCUUGGAUAUGUAUAAUCUCUCCGUAAAUAAUGCUGCUAGACCCUUUUUAUUUACCCUUUUUAAAAGCAUUCAAACUAUUAUCGAUAAAUGUCAACCCAUUUGCUCCCGCUACCAUUCAUAGUUGUUUGCAGAGACUGCGUUGGCAAAACCAGAACAUUUACGGCUGGCUGUAUUAAAUGUUUGAUCCUGCUUGCGUUGGAAUUGAUCUGUAAAAGCAUCCAAUUUAAAAAAAUAUCCUUUGAC